Molecule: ribosomal RNA, 468 nt
Filed under: uncultured bacterium
Lineage: Bacteria
Description: partial 16S ribosomal RNA
Rfam family: Bacterial small subunit ribosomal RNA
Source: RNAcentral
GACGAACGCUGGCGGCGUGCUUAACACAUGCAAGUCGAACGGAAAGGCCCUGCUUUUGUGGGGUGCUCGAGUGGCGAACGGGUGAGUAACACGUGAGUAACCUGCCCUUGACUUUGGGAUAACUUCAGGAAACUGGGGCUAAUACCGGAUAGGAGCUCCUGCUGCAUGGUGGGGGUUGGAAAGUUUCGGCGGUUGGGGAUGGACUCGCGGCUUAUCAGCUUGUUGGUGGGGUAGUGGCUUACCAAGGCUUUGACGGGUAGCCGGCCUGAGAGGGUGACCGGCCACAUUGGGAAUGAGAUACGGGCCCGACUCCUACGGGAGGCAGCAGUGGGGAAUAAUGCACAAUGGGCGGAAGCCUGAUGCAGCAAAGCCGCGUGCGGGAUGACGGCCUUCGGGUUGUAAACCGCUUUCGCCUGUGACGAAGCGUGAGUGACGGUAAUGGGUAAAGAAGCACCGGCUAACUACGUG